This 289-nucleotide long non-coding RNA is filed under the name Capsicum annuum. RNAcentral describes it as "long non-coding RNA (CANN_LNC020563)". The record is from RNAcentral. Lineage: Eukaryota; Viridiplantae; Streptophyta; Magnoliopsida; Solanales; Solanaceae.
UUAUGUUAGUUGUGAUGUUAGCUCUAUGUGAAUUUAGUAUUAGCUCUAUGUGGAUUUAGUGUUACUGGACAUACAAUAUUACUUGGAGGAAAUCUUUAAAAGAACACUGAAGUGCUAAAUAUAUUGCCACGAAAGGGACGUAACUCUAAUUAGUUUCUCAUAAUUUUUUUUGAAGGAAAGCUAGGAGAUCGCCAACUCUAUCAUGCUGAGUGGGCAAAUCAAAUAUGUUUAAGACAUUUGAAGAUCUCAGUAAAGAAUCAUUAGCCUUGGAUGAGAAAGAAAAACAACA